UACGAAAGGGGCUAGCGUUGUUCGGAAUUACUGGGCGUAAAGCGCGCGUAGGCGGGCUAGCAAGUUGGGGGUGAAAUCCCGGGGCUCAACCUCGGAACUGCCUCCAAAACUGCUAGCCUAGAGGAUGUGAGAGGAUAGUGGAAUUCCGAGUGUAGAGGUGAAAUUCGUAGAGAUUCGGAAGAACACCAGUGGCGAAGGCGACUGUCUGGCGCAUUGCUGACGAUGAGGUGCGAAAGAGUGGGGAGCAAACAGG
This 253-nucleotide ribosomal RNA is filed under the name uncultured bacterium. RNAcentral's name for it is "partial 16S ribosomal RNA". It matches the Rfam family "Bacterial small subunit ribosomal RNA", at positions 524 to 776 of the family's 1533-position model. The record is from RNAcentral.